CUGGAAACGCGCCCCCGGCGCACCCAGAAACCCCUUGUGAACUCAUACCUGCUGUUGCUUCGGCGCGGCCGGCCUCGCAGAGAGGCCCCCUAGCGAUGGGGAGCAGCCCGCCGGAGGUCAUACAAACUCUUGUUUCUUGGUGUGUCUCUGAGCAAAAAAUCAUAAUGAAUUCA
RNAcentral lists this unclassified non-coding RNA (173 nucleotides) under uncultured Diaporthales. RNAcentral's name for it is "sequence contains ITS1". Lineage: Eukaryota; Fungi; Ascomycota; Sordariomycetes; Diaporthales. The record is from RNAcentral.